GACGAACGCUGGCGGCGUGCCUAACACAUGCAAGUCGAACGGAGAUACGAUUUCGGUUGUAUCUUAGUGGCGAACGGGUGAGUAACGCGUGAGCAACCUGACCUUUAGAGGGGGAUAACACUUGGAAACAGGUGCUAAUACCGCAUAAGACCACGACCCGACAUCGGGAUGAGGUCAAAGGAGUAAUCCGCUAGAGGAGGGGCUCGCGUCCCAUUAGAUAGAUGGCGGGGUAACGGCCCACCAUGUCGACGAUGGGUAGCCGAGCUGAGAGGCUGAUCGGCCACACUGGAACUGAGACACGGUCCAGACUCCUACGGGAGGCAGCAGUGGGGAAUAUUGGGCAAUGGGCGCAAGCCUGACCCAGCAACGCCGCGUGAGGGAAGAAG
Molecule: ribosomal RNA, 386 nt
Filed under: uncultured bacterium
Lineage: Bacteria
Description: bacterial SSU rRNA
Rfam family: Bacterial small subunit ribosomal RNA
Source: RNAcentral